UGUGCGUGCGUCUUGCGCAUG
RNAcentral lists this unclassified non-coding RNA (21 nucleotides) under Chlamydomonas reinhardtii. RNAcentral describes it as "small RNA Cre_3596". Lineage: Eukaryota; Viridiplantae; Chlorophyta; Chlorophyceae; Chlamydomonadales; Chlamydomonadaceae. The record is from RNAcentral.